GUUUCUAUAGUCUAGUGGUUAUGACAUCUGCUUUACACGCAGAAGGUCCCCGGUUCGACCCCGGGUGGAAACA
This is a non-coding RNA of Syncephalis plumigaleata, 73 nucleotides long. NCBI's taxonomy places the organism in Eukaryota, Fungi, Zoopagomycota, Zoopagomycetes, Zoopagales, Piptocephalidaceae. The record is from the annotation of a GenBank genome assembly.